RNAcentral lists this ribosomal RNA (2904 nucleotides) under Escherichia coli. RNAcentral's name for it is "23S ribosomal RNA". It matches the Rfam family "Bacterial large subunit ribosomal RNA". Lineage: Bacteria; Pseudomonadati; Pseudomonadota; Gammaproteobacteria; Enterobacterales; Enterobacteriaceae. The record is from RNAcentral.
GGUUAAGCGACUAAGCGUACACGGUGGAUGCCCUGGCAGUCAGAGGCGAUGAAGGACGUGCUAAUCUGCGAUAAGCGUCGGUAAGGUGAUAUGAACCGUUAUAACCGGCGAUUUCCGAAUGGGGAAACCCAGUGUGAUUCGUCACACUAUCAUUAACUGAAUCCAUAGGUUAAUGAGGCGAACCGGGGGAACUGAAACAUCUAAGUACCCCGAGGAAAAGAAAUCAACCGAGAUUCCCCCAGUAGCGGCGAGCGAACGGGGAGCAGCCCAGAGCCUGAAUCAGUGUGUGUGUUAGUGGAAGCGUCUGGAAAGGCGCGCGAUACAGGGUGAUAGCCCCGUACACAAAAAUGCACAUGCUGUGAGCUCGAUGAGUAGGGCGGGACACGUGGUAUCCUGUCUGAAUAUGGGGGGACCAUCCUCCAAGGCUAAAUACUCCUGACUGACCGAUAGUGAACCAGUACCGUGAGGGAAAGGCGAAAAGAACCCCGGCGAGGGGAGUGAAAAAGAACCUGAAACCGUGUACGUACAAGCAGUGGGAGCACGCUUAGGCGUGUGACUGCGUACCUUUUGUAUAAUGGGUCAGCGACUUAUAUUCUGUAGCAAGGUUAACCGAAUAGGGGAGCCGAAGGGAAACCGAGUCUUAACUGGGCGUUAAGUUGCAGGGUAUAGACCCGAAACCCGGUGAUCUAGCCAUGGGCAGGUUGAAGGUUGGGUAACACUAACUGGAGGACCGAACCGACUAAUGUUGAAAAAUUAGCGGAUGACUUGUGGCUGGGGGUGAAAGGCCAAUCAAACCGGGAGAUAGCUGGUUCUCCCCGAAAGCUAUUUAGGUAGCGCCUCGUGAAUUCAUCUCCGGGGGUAGAGCGCUGUUUCGGCAAGGGGGUCAUCCCGACUUACCAACCCGAUGCAAACUGCGAAUACCGGAGAAUGUUAUCACGGGAGACACACGGCGGGUGCUAACGUCCGUCGUGAAGAGGGAAACAACCCAGACCGCCAGCUAAGGUCCCAAAGUCAUGGUUAAGUGGGAAACGAUGUGGGAAGGCCCAGACAGCCAGGAUGUUGGCUUAGAAGCAGCCAUCAUUUAAAGAAAGCGUAAUAGCUCACUGGUCGAGUCGGCCUGCGCGGAAGAUGUAACGGGGCUAAACCAUGCACCGAAGCUGCGGCAGCGACGCUUAUGCGUUGUUGGGUAGGGGAGCGUUCUGUAAGCCUGCGAAGGUGUGCUGUGAGGCAUGCUGGAGGUAUCAGAAGUGCGAAUGCUGACAUAAGUAACGAUAAAGCGGGUGAAAAGCCCGCUCGCCGGAAGACCAAGGGUUCCUGUCCAACGUUAAUCGGGGCAGGGUGAGUCGACCCCUAAGGCGAGGCCGAAAGGCGUAGUCGAUGGGAAACAGGUUAAUAUUCCUGUACUUGGUGUUACUGCGAAGGGGGGACGGAGAAGGCUAUGUUGGCCGGGCGACGGUUGUCCCGGUUUAAGCGUGUAGGCUGGUUUUCCAGGCAAAUCCGGAAAACUAAGGCUGAGGCGUGAUGACGAGGCACUACGGUGCUGAAGCAACAAAUGCCCUGCUUCCAGGAAAAGCCUCUAAGCAUCAGGUAACAUCAAAUCGUACCCCAAACCGACACAGGUGGUCAGGUAGAGAAUACCAAGGCGCUUGAGAGAACUCGGGUGAAGGAACUAGGCAAAAUGGUGCCGUAACUUCGGGAGAAGGCACGCUGAUAUGUAGGUGAAGUCCCUCGCGGAUGGAGCUGAAAUCAGUCGAAGAUACCAGCUGGCUGCAACUGUUUAUUAAAAACACAGCACUGUGCAAACACGAAAGUGGACGUAUACGGUGUGACGCCUGCCCGGUGCCGGAAGGUUAAUUGAUGGGGUCAGCGCAAGCGAAGCUCUUGAUCGAAGCCCCGGUAAACGGCGGCCGUAACUAUAACGGUCCUAAGGUAGCGAAAUUCCUUGUCGGGUAAGUUCCGACCUGCACGAAUGGCGUAAUGAUGGCCAGGCUGUCUCCACCCGAGACUCAGUGAAAUUGAACUCGCUGUGAAGAUGCAGUGUACCCGCGGCAAGACGGAAAGACCCCGUGAACCUUUACUAUAGCUUGACACUGAACAUUGAGCCUUGAUGUGUAGGAUAGGUGGGAGGCUUUGAAGUGUGGACGCCAGUCUGCAUGGAGCCGACCUUGAAAUACCACCCUUUAAUGUUUGAUGUUCUAACGUGGACCCGUGAUCCGGGUUGCGGACAGUGUCUGGUGGGUAGUUUGACUGGGGCGGUCUCCUCCUAAAGAGUAACGGAGGAGCACGAAGGUUGGCUAAUCCUGGUCGGACAUCAGGAGGUUAGUGCAAUGGCAUAAGCCAGCUUGACUGCGAGCGUGACGGCGCGAGCAGGUGCGAAAGCAGGUCAUAGUGAUCCGGUGGUUCUGAAUGGAAGGGCCAUCGCUCAACGGAUAAAAGGUACUCCGGGGAUAACAGGCUGAUACCGCCCAAGAGUUCAUAUCGACGGCGGUGUUUGGCACCUCGAUGUCGGCUCAUCACAUCCUGGGGCUGAAGUAGGUCCCAAGGGUAUGGCUGUUCGCCAUUUAAAGUGGUACGCGAGCUGGGUUUAGAACGUCGUGAGACAGUUCGGUCCCUAUCUGCCGUGGGCGCUGGAGAACUGAGGGGGGCUGCUCCUAGUACGAGAGGACCGGAGUGGACGCAUCACUGGUGUUCGGGUUGUCAUGCCAAUGGCACUGCCCGGUAGCUAAAUGCGGAAGAGAUAAGUGCUGAAAGCAUCUAAGCACGAAACUUGCCCCGAGAUGAGUUCUCCCUGACUCCUUGAGAGUCCUGAAGGAACGUUGAAGACGACGACGUUGAUAGGCCGGGUGUGUAAGCGCAGCGAUGCGUUGAGCUAACCGGUACUAAUGAACCGUGAGGCUUAACCUU